UACGUAGGGUGCGAGCGUUGUCCGGAAUUAUUGGGCGUAAAGGGCUCGUAGGCGGUUUGUCGCGUCGGGAGUGAAAUCCACUGGCUUAACUGGUGGCUUGCUUUCGAUACGGGCAGACUGGAGGCAUGCAGGGGAGAACGGAAUUCCUGGUGUAGCGGUGAAAUGCGCAGAUAUCAGGAGGAACACCGGUGGCGAAGGCGGAUCUCUGGGCCAUUACUGACGCUGAGGAGCGAAAGCGUGGGGAGCGAACAGG
This 253-nucleotide ribosomal RNA is filed under the name uncultured bacterium. RNAcentral describes it as "partial 16S ribosomal RNA". It matches the Rfam family "Bacterial small subunit ribosomal RNA", at positions 524 to 776 of the family's 1533-position model. The record is from RNAcentral.